This 253-nucleotide ribosomal RNA is filed under the name uncultured bacterium. Its description in RNAcentral is "partial 16S ribosomal RNA". It matches the Rfam family "Bacterial small subunit ribosomal RNA", at positions 524 to 776 of the family's 1533-position model. The record is from RNAcentral.
UACAGAGGUCCCGAGCGUUGUUCGGAUUCAUUGGGCGUAAAGGGUGCGUAGGCGGCGGGGAAAGUCUGAUGUGAAAUCCUGGGGCUCAACCCUGGAACUGCAUUGGAUACUUCCUUGCUAGAGUGCGGUAGAGGGUAGUGGAAUUCCCGGUGUAGCAGUGAAAUGCGUAGAGAUCGGGAGGAACACCAGUGGCGAAGGCGGCUACCUGGACCAGCACUGACACUGAAGCACGAAAGCGUGGGGAGCAAACAGG